GCUUUUCGGAUCAGUGGCGAACGGGUGAGUAACACGUGAGUAACCUGCCCUUGACUCUGGGAUAACUGCUAGAAAUGGUAGCUAAUACCGGAUACGACCCUCGGCCGCAUGGUCAGGGGGUGGAAAGAAUUUUGGUCAAGGAUGGACUCGCGGCCUAUCAGGUAGUUGGUGAGGUAAUGGCUCACCAAGCCUACGACGGGUAGCCGGCCUGAGAGGGUGACCGGCCACACUGGGACUGAGACACGGCCCAGACUCCUACGGGAGGCAGCAGUGGGGAAUAUUGCACAAUGGGCGAAAGCCUGAUGCAGCAACGCCGCGUGAGGGACGACGGCCUUCGGGUUGUAAACCUCUUUUAGUAGGGAAGAAGCGAAAGUGACGGUACCUGCAGAAAAAGCACCGGCUAACUACGUGCCAGCAGCCGCGGUAAUACGUAGGGUGCAAGCGUUGUCCGGAAUUAUUGGGCGUAAAGAGCUCGUAGGCGGUUUGUCGCGUCUGCUGUGAAAUCCGGAGGCUCAACCUCCGGCCUGCAGUGGGUACGGGCAGACUAGAGUGCGGUAGGGGAGAUUGGAAUUCCUGGUGUAGCGGUGGAAUGCGCA
RNAcentral lists this ribosomal RNA (596 nucleotides) under uncultured bacterium. Its description in RNAcentral is "bacterial SSU rRNA". It matches the Rfam family "Bacterial small subunit ribosomal RNA", at positions 82 to 692 of the family's 1533-position model. The record is from RNAcentral.